CUGCUUACUUCAGCAGCACACAUUCUAAAAUUGGAAUGAUACAGAGAAGAUUAACAGGGCCCUUGUGCAAGGAUGACAUGCAGAUUUAUGAAGUGUUCCAUAUUUUU
RNAcentral lists this small nuclear RNA (107 nucleotides) under Castor canadensis (American beaver). The record is from RNAcentral. Lineage: Eukaryota; Metazoa; Chordata; Mammalia; Rodentia; Castoridae.